ACAAUGACAUGGGAAAAUGCAUGGGAUCUGUAUGAGGGCAUAUGAAACUUAUAGGUCCAGGAGUCACUCUCUUGUUGAUCCACAUGAGCUCAGGAGCCUGUGGCAGUGACCACCUGUAAGAAACAAGAAUUGGUGAGCUGCAAUAUGCCGGAAGGCAGUCCUUUCUCGUGAUUUUGCUGACAGAUGCUCGAAAGUGUUCUAUGCUGCAAGGCAUUCUCCUCUGAAAAUUGAGGAUCUAGUAGUCUGAACAGUAUGGAUGUUGAAUCUACACAUUUGGAAUGCAUGCUUGAGCCUCUGGUUCAUCUGCCUUGAAGGCAAAGCCUGCCGCCUGGAGAUGCAGCUCCAACCUGAUGCCAAACACCAUCCAGGAUCUCUGCCAUGUUGGUGAGGACAACUGCAGCCUCGCGCCAAGUGCGAACACCUAAUGCAGGAGGAGGUGGUCCGCUUCUGCAAGUUAAUGUGUCUUGGCUCAAAUGGCGCGACGAUUAGACUCGUGCAAAAAUAUAUCAAGGAGACCCUGAACGGAUCUUGGUGACAAUGUAGUUAUGAUCUAUCUGUCUUAAAUGGAGUACCUAAAUGGCCUGGUCUGCUGUCACCACCGACCUUAUCUACUACGGUAGCUGGCAGGCAGUGCAUGCAGGUGACUCCUUGGAAGACAAGGGACACUGUUUGGGCUACAAUAAAAGAGAAUCCUAGUAUGCAGCAUGUGAGACAAUCAUUACCUAGGUUAG
Molecule: long non-coding RNA, 731 nt
Organism: Lolium rigidum
Lineage: Eukaryota; Viridiplantae; Streptophyta; Magnoliopsida; Poales; Poaceae
Exons: 6
Source: RefSeq, a predicted model, not a curated record